CUUGUUUCUGAAAAGGCCUCGCAAGACAACAUAUUGGCUGAAAGGAAUGGAAGUGAAACCAGUAGCAGGACUGUGAUGGACGCCAUUUUGAGCAGCCAAUGGGCCGAUCAAGAUGAGGUCAAGCAGACUCCAUCCGAAGACACAACCGACGAGCUCGAGCGGAGAUGUCAUCCUAAAUCCUGCCUCUACUAUCCCCACUACGCAUUCAUUGUCACACUGCGGUGGAUGAGGAAGCACAAAAGACAGCUUCGGUGGUUAGCUUUCCUUGCCUGGAUAACGUAUGUCAUUUACGUCCAGAUUUACAGCUUUUACAUCAUGGAACAGGACUAUGACGCGUGCAACGGAGGUGGUCUCGUAGCGUGGGUCAGCGCCGUCAUUCUGUUAUACAUCAUGCUGUUCAGACUGAUCCUUCCCCACAUACACCACGUCCGGCGGCUGAAGAGAUCAAUCUGCAUCCGGCCGUUCGAAUGCUGUCGAGUUACGUGCCAAUACACGUUGGUGCGUCUCGCCACCUGCGCCAUAGUGUUCGUUUUGAUUGUGAUGUUGACACACCAGGGACGCUUUGUGCCUUCCACUCACCAGUGCAUCGCCUUAUCCGGCUACUUUGCCAUCAUUUUGAUCGCCUACUUUCUCUCUGUGGAGCCAGAAAAGAUUGAUUGGCGUCUGGUCAUCAAGAAUUUGUUAAUACAGAUUAUCAUCGUGUACAGCAUGAUGAUCUGGACCUUUGGCCGCGUGUUGCUGCAAUGUACUGCCGAGAAG
This is a long non-coding RNA of Pollicipes pollicipes, 759 nucleotides long. RefSeq lists it as uncharacterized. The record is from RefSeq and is a predicted model, not a curated record. Lineage: Eukaryota; Metazoa; Arthropoda; Thecostraca; Pollicipedomorpha; Pollicipedidae. The transcript is spliced from 4 exons.